UGGGGUGCAUCUUAUUAACAGGCUUUUUGAGGAGUCUGUAGCUGUCAGCUCUUCUAAUCUGUUAAGUGAAGGUUUUAAGAGGCAUGGAUAUUGGUACUACUUGUUUUCUUCCCUGUGAAGGUAAAGAAGUUGCAGGAGAGUACUGAGCUGUCCUUACCUGGGAGGCAAUGCACUUCCAUGCCUGUCUCAGGCACUGGCUGUAUAACCUGGAGCCACUCUAGUGCUGGUGUGGCUGGACUAACUGCAGUGCAGUGUUAACAGCCACAGGAAAACAGAGCUGUACUUGCUGCUGCCCUUUGCUGUGCAUGGAAAGUAGUAGCUUUAACCAAUGGAGUGUCAGCUCAGCUGAGAAUAUAAAGGAUCUGCUCUUUCAUGUACGUGUUUGUUUCCUGCAAGCUGGAAAACCAUAAACAACUUGAGGGAGGCUGCCAAGAAGUGGCAUUUCCAUCAGGAGCUG
Long non-coding RNA from Anser brachyrhynchus (Pink-footed goose), 457 nucleotides. NCBI's taxonomy places the organism in Eukaryota, Metazoa, Chordata, Aves, Anseriformes, Anatidae. The record is from Ensembl.